GAAUUUGGAAGAUGCCCAUGUCUAAGACAGUGGUGAGGAUUGGGCCAAAAUCCAGAUCUAACCUUGGAUCAAGGAAGCCUUGAUUCCUUCAUCCGAGUAACCCUGUGUUGACCCACGGCUGCUGAUGGAUCGCGGACCUUCCUCUCUCCUCACUGUCCUGCAUCAGAUCACCAGGAGGACCUGAGAGUACUGGAUGAACCAUCACAAGACUGGGAUUGGAAAGUGUGGGGAGCAAGCACUCAGGGAGAUGGCUGAUGCAGCUGGUUCCCUGGCCCUGGGCUGUGGCUCAGCUCUUGGUCAUGGCACAAGUGACCAGAGGCCAGAGAAACAUGGUGGGGACUGAUUCUGUCUUGGCUAUUCCUCAUCAGUGCUUUGAGCUGCAUGAAGCCCUGAGAACCAAGGCAACACGAGUGCACAACCAGGGAUUUGCUCUUCUCAUGGUCUGCACCCUCAGCACAGCACAAAGUUCCACCCUUUGCUUCUGCAGUGCUAGUACCUACUUUCUCUUUUUCACAUCAAGAACACCGAGCAGCACUGAAGAGAAGAAACUGCAUCAUCUAACUGCUGGAAGAGAUGAAACUCUGUGCAGCCCUUCAUGUCAAAUAAUAAAGGGUAAUUAAAAGUUGUGUCUUUCCCCCUGCUGAGGAGAGGGGCUUGACCAAAGCCAUUUGGUGCAUGGAACACCAAACCCAAGCUGACUGUUGGUAUCAGUAGUGUGGGUGGCACCUGUGAACCAAGUUCUCCAUAACCAGAGGAGUUAUAGCCUUUUUUAAAUAUAUACUUCCUGAAAUCAGGCAGAUCAAACAGAAAAUUAAGAUUUAAAAAUUAUAUUUAUUCAAUUUAUUUAAUUAUUAAAUUUAAAAUUAAAUUUUAUAAAGGUCAAGCAGAAAUUAACACACUGGCUGAGAAUGAGACUUUCCCAGUGAGACAGCGCAAGACUAUUUAAAAAACUGCCCUAAACAGCAGAGUCAUCAGCGUUCCUGGUACUGCAGCUGUGUAUCUUUGAAAAUCAGGCACCCUUUAAGCACAUUUUCAUCAUAAUAUAACCAAUAUACAUUUUAUUAUGUUUCCUUUCCCUGUUCUACUUCUGGUUUAACCAUGUGUGAACCAAGCUAACAUGAUUAGACACCUUGUUUUUCACCAGUCAUUUCUGUUUGCAGUCUUCCAUAAAGUGCUUCAAAUGAAUUUUAAUAUGUUGAUGGUACUUACUGGAGAGAUUAAUAUUCAUAAUAAAUACCCCUUAGAAAUAAUCUUCA
RNAcentral lists this long non-coding RNA (1256 nucleotides) under Parus major (Great Tit). RNAcentral's name for it is "lncRNA (ENSPMJG00000009650.1)". The record is from RNAcentral. Lineage: Eukaryota; Metazoa; Chordata; Aves; Passeriformes; Paridae.